GUGGGUUGUAGCUCAGUGGUAGAGUGCUCGCCUAGCAUGCACAAGGCAUGAGUUUGAUCCUCAGCACCACA
This 71-nucleotide transfer RNA is filed under the name Marmota monax (woodchuck). RNAcentral describes it as "tRNA.Ala". The record is from RNAcentral. Lineage: Eukaryota; Metazoa; Chordata; Mammalia; Rodentia; Sciuridae.